This 75-nucleotide transfer RNA is filed under the name Gammaproteobacteria bacterium. RNAcentral's name for it is "tRNA-Gln". It matches the Rfam family "tRNA". Rfam says of the family: Transfer RNA (tRNA) molecules are approximately 80 nucleotides in length. Their secondary structure includes four short double-helical elements and three loops (D, anti-codon, and T loops). The record is from RNAcentral. Lineage: Bacteria; Pseudomonadati; Pseudomonadota; Gammaproteobacteria.
UGGGGUGUCGCCAAGUGGUAAGGCACGGGAUUUUGAUUCCCGCAUACCCAGGUUCGAAUCCUGGCACCCCAGCCA